GACGAACGCUGGCGGCGUGCCUAAUACAUGCAAGUAGAACGCUGAAGAGAGGAGCUUGCUCUUCUUGGAUGAGUUGCGAACGGGUGAGUAACGCGUAGGUAACCUGCCUGGUAGCGGGGGACAACUAUUGGAAACGAUAGCUAAUACCGCAUAAAAUUGAUUAUUGCAUGAUAAUUAAUUGAAAGAUGCAACUGCAUCACUACCAGAUGGACCUGCGUUGUAUUAGCUAGUUGGUGAGGUAACGGCUCACCAAGGCGACGAUACAUAGCCGACCUGAGGGGGUGAUCGGCCACACUGGGACUGAGACACGGCCCAGACUCCUACGGGAGGCAGCAGUAGGGAAUCUUCGGCAAUGGGGGGAACCCUGACCGAGCAACGCCGCGUGAGUGAAGAAGGUUUUCGGAUCGUAAAGCUCUGUUGUAAGAGAAGAACGGGUGUGAGAGUGGAAAGUUCACACUGUGACGGUAUCUUACCAGAAAGGGACGGCUAACUACGUG
RNAcentral lists this ribosomal RNA (497 nucleotides) under uncultured bacterium. RNAcentral describes it as "partial 16S ribosomal RNA". It matches the Rfam family "Bacterial small subunit ribosomal RNA", at positions 28 to 507 of the family's 1533-position model. The record is from RNAcentral.